UCACGAACGGGGCGAUUGGACGCUGAGGCACGAAAAGCGUGGGGGAUCAAAACAGGGAUUAGAUACCCUGGUAGUCCACGCAGUAAACGAUGAUAACUAACCGUUGGUUUUACGGAAUCAGUGCCAAGCGAAAGCGAUAAGUUAUCCACCUGGGGAGUACGACCGCAAGGUUGAAACUCAAAGGAAUUGACGGGGGCCCGCACAAGCGGAGGAACAUGUGGUUUAAUUCGAUGAUACGCGAGGAACCUUACCCGGGCUCGAACGGCAGAGGAACAAUCCAGAGAUGGUGCGGCCCUACGGGGCUUCUGUCGAGGUGCUGCAUGGUUGUCGUCAGCUCGUGCCGUGAGGUGUCGGCUCAAGUGCCAUAACGAGCGCAACCCUUGCCGGUAGUUACCAGCAUGUAAUGAUGGGGACUCUACCGGGACUGCCACGGCAAGGUGUGAGGAAGGGGGGGAUGACGUCAAAUCAGCACGGCCCUUACUGCCGGGCGGACACACAGUUACAAUGGCGGUGAAAGAGGGGAGCUAGCUGGUGACAGGAUGGGAAUCUCGAAAAGCCCCUCAGUUCGGAUUGGAGUCACAACCCAACCCCGUGAAGCGG
Molecule: ribosomal RNA, 600 nt
Filed under: uncultured bacterium
Lineage: Bacteria
Description: bacterial SSU rRNA
Rfam family: Bacterial small subunit ribosomal RNA
Source: RNAcentral